CACAAAAGCCCUUUUUGGCCAAUUAUUAGUAAUUUUCACUUAUAAAGAAACUUGAAGGUUAAGGAGCUUGUUUAAAGACACCCAGCAAUGGAGCAGUUGAGUCAGUUCAGUUCAGGUUAAGGCUCACUUCUCUUCAAGCCGCAACUGCCUGGCCCUGAGCCUGAGUCCCCACUCCCCACACCACACACCUCAUACCCAGGAACCUGCCACAUGUGCUGAGUGAGUCUGUGGGUGGGGUGAGUUGUUUUGGAAAGUAGUCUCGGCUGUUGUUCCCAUGGAAGAUCACAGUGAGCUCAGCUUGUUGACAAAUGUUGGGUUCCCACUGACCUGGCAGCUUUUUAUGGGGCAGAAUUUGCUGAAACUCAUAGAAGAGAAGGAAGGAGAAGAAAGCAGACAGUUUAUCUAACCCAGAUCUUGAAAAGGAAAGACAGGCAGCAUUGUGCCCUGGGGAAGCAUGCAGACUGGGGACAAUGUAGGCCUGGCACCCGCCUGGAAAGACUGCCCACACAGAGCCAAAGAUGCCCCAGGAGUCUGCAAAGGCAAAUGGAUCAGGUGCCUUCCAGCCAAAGGCCACAGCCAGAAGCCCUUGGAGAUCCCACUUCCCGGGAGGAUGAAGUCCACUUUGUCCUGAUGCCCCCUCCUUUCGAAGUGGAACCUCUAUUUUACUACUUCUCUGAUGUGCCCUGAGCCCCAGCCACUCUUGCCACACCCCAUCUCCAAACCCUCCCCAGGAACAGCCUCCUACCUGGACUCCCAGAUGCCAGCCCUCUCCUCACCAUGCCCCUUCCCUGAGGUAGCUAUAGGAAAUAUUCUAGAAGAUCUGACAUUAGCCUCCUGUUGACAUCUUUCCAUGAUUCCCACAACUCUCAGAGGGAUGCCCCAAUCCUUCAUAGGAGUUUUGGGAUCUGGUCCCUUUGUAGCUCUCUUAUCUACCCUCUUCCCAGAGUGUCCUCCCCAGCCAGGCUGAACUCCUUUGGCCCCAAAAUCAAGGGGCAUUUUUUCUCACCCUGGGCCACCUACUCUUCCUUCUGCCUGGAAAGCCACAAUUGCUUUCUCCACCUAACUUAAUUCUAUGCUUCAAAUCUCAGCUUCCUUCAUCUGCAAACUCUCACCCACCUCUGGCUUCAUACCCCACAGCUACCCCUG
Molecule: long non-coding RNA, 1146 nt
Filed under: Aotus nancymaae (Ma's night monkey)
Lineage: Eukaryota; Metazoa; Chordata; Mammalia; Primates; Aotidae
Description: lncRNA (ENSANAG00000038828.1)
Source: RNAcentral